RNAcentral lists this ribosomal RNA (253 nucleotides) under uncultured bacterium. RNAcentral's name for it is "partial 16S ribosomal RNA". It matches the Rfam family "Bacterial small subunit ribosomal RNA", at positions 524 to 776 of the family's 1533-position model. The record is from RNAcentral.
UACGUAAGACGCAAGCGUUGUCCGGAAUCACUGGGCGUAAAGCGCGCGUAGGCGGUUUGAUAAGUUGGGUGUGAAAUCCCCGGGCUCAACCCGGGAACUGCGCCCAAAACUGUCUCACUGGAGGAACGGAGAGGUGCACGGAAUUCCCGGUGUAGGGGUGAAAUCCAUAGAUAUCGGGAGGAACACCAAUGGCGAAGGCAGUGCACUGGACGUUUCCUGACGCUGAGGUGCGAAAGCGUGGGGAGCGAACGGG